This 337-nucleotide small nuclear RNA is filed under the name Erinaceus europaeus (western European hedgehog). Its description in RNAcentral is "7SK RNA". The stretch from base 1 to 298 matches the Rfam family "7SK RNA". Rfam says of the family: 7SK was discovered as an abundant small nuclear RNA in the mid-70s but a possible function has only recently been suggested. Lineage: Eukaryota; Metazoa; Chordata; Mammalia; Eulipotyphla; Erinaceidae. The record is from Rfam by way of RNAcentral.
GGGUGUGAGGGCGAUCUGGCUGCGACAUCUGUCACCCCACUGAUCGCCAGGGUUGAUUCGGCUGAUCUGGCUGGCUAGGCGGGUGUCCCCUUCCUCCCUCACCGCUCCAUGUGCGUCCCUCCCGAAGCUGCGCGCUCGGUCGAAGAGGACGGCUUUCCCCGAAUAGAGACGGACCGGUCUUCGGUCGAGGGUAUACGAGUAGCUGCGCUCCCCUGCUAGAACCUCCAAACAAGCUCUCAAGGUCCAAUAAAUGAAAAUAAAAAAGUUUUAAAAGACAAUUUAAAAAAUCAGAAUUUUUGACAACUAGGAUAUAUUAAAGUGAGCUUUUAAAAUAUUU